UCUAAUGGAUUGUAUCACCUAUAUAUGUAGUUGUAAAAAUCCUUUUAACAUUUAUAAACUCCACAAAUUGAUUCAUUUAUAAAUUCCUUAAAUUACCUGUCCUGCUGAUGUGAUUGUGGGUCUUUAACAGUGCCGUUGAUGAACCUUAUGAUUGCCUCCAUGAAUUUUGUGCCAUCCUUCGAUCUUGUAAGCAAUUCAAGAACACGAAAAGGUAAUUGGUUUUCCAACAAGAACAGAUCCGAGUACACAAAUGUUAGCAAUUCGUUUUUAAUAGAAAAUUCGUUCGACGUACGACAACGAUCUUGGCCGUAAAGCAUAUAAACUGCUUGUAAAAUUGCGCAGCCGUCAACGAAGAACAUCCAAGCCAGUUUCUCGUUAUCGUUGCUAUAGUUCUCUAAUCCCUUUGGAUCAUAGCAUUUCUUUAAGCCAUCGAUCUCUGUCUUCAUGUUGUUGUACAAGGUAUCCUUAUCGACGCCAAUUUUUUUAACGAAAAGUGCUGCUAAUUUGAGCUUGAGCUUCUCGGAUUUAUGGAGGGUGGCAUCAUCGUGGUAGAAUGGGCCGAUUGAGAUCACUUUCGGCUUGAAAUACUUACUGAAAUCUUCGUGACGACCAAGGGUUGAUGGGACUCUUUGUAUCAAUGGUUUGGCACCGAGGUCGAUUUCGUCGCCGUCGAAAGCUUCGUCUAAUGACCGGAGAUUCACUACUUCGCCAACGCUGAGAGGGACGUCCAUAUCAAUGCUCACGGAAUCGUUGUUGUCGGUGAUUGUUUGAUCAGUGGAAACUGCUCCGACGGCGCCGCCUCCUUCCUCCGUGGAAGACAUUUUCAGGCUGAGCGGUUGGAAGUAAUAAAGAAGGUGAUUUUGUAAACUGCUUUUGGCUGAGUGAGUGAUGUUGGAGAAAAGGUGGCAAAGUGGAUAAGAUGAUGACAAAUGUUUUAUAGCUUACAUGAUAAACAUAUAUGGGAAAUACUUAAGGUGUAAUUCAAAUUUACCCUUAGUGUUUAUAUUUUUACUAUAAUUUUAAUUUUUUAAUUAAAUUUAUUUCUCUUUUGAAAGAGUCAAUGAUAAAAAAAGAAAAGAAAAGUUAAAUUAAUGUUUUUUAACAAAAAUAGUAACAAAUAUUAAAAUUGUGAAUAACAUUAUAGAACUUAAAUACUCAACGCAACUCAAGAAACUAAUGGUGGGUCUGGAUGGGCAGUGCGGUGCGGUGCGUUUAGCCUACUUUUUGUCUCAUACUACAGUGUUGCUACAGUAUCUAAUCUCACCGCCACCACUGUUUUUACACUAACCACAGGUAAACGCACCGUCCAUCCAAACUCACCCUAAGACCCUAUCAAAGGGAGAAUUUUAUAUCUACAACACUUCCUAAAUUUCAUUAGCUUAAUAAUAGCUAUUCAAUUUUUUUUUUCAUUUUUUUACUUAAAUUAUUUUUACUUACUUUAUAUUAGAUAAAUUAUUCCAAAUAUUUAAUAUUUUACAUAUAAUAAUUGCAUUUGUUAUUCUACCUAACUCAUGAAAAAUCUCAAUUUUGCAACAUCACAUGCCAACCAACCAAUUUAUUAUUCACAUUCCAACUUUCUAAAUGCAUCAAAUAUUUCAUAUUCAUGUACUAACAAAGAUCAUGCCAAGAACCCACAUGCAAAGUCAUUGUAUAGUACCACAUUUAACUCAAUCGGACUUUUACACAACUAAAGAUUACUCCAAACGUUUAUAUGCAUGUCACAAUCCUUCACUCAAAAUGAUAAAAAAAAAACUAUUAAAUUGACGAUAAAAUAGUUUAAGCUUCGACCGAUCCAACCGACGUGUUCUAGCAUAUAAUAUGUUUAGUAAGCUCAUAUGGAAACUAAAACUUACCUAGAUCAAUUGAACAUAAAAAAUUACUCAAUAAGCUAUCGAAUUAAUUUUUCCUUAGCACUUAUAUAUAUAUAAUACAUGUAACAACAUUUCAAGUCAAAAGUGUUAGAUACAAUGUUGAAUCAUAAUCCUGUCAACAUUUAAAACAUAAUCACAUAGCAAUCUAUAUACCAAAUUUCAUCAAUACCAGUUCAUUUUCAAUUCAAGAUUUAAUUCCAUUUCCAACCAUUUAAUCAUCCUCUGAUGGAACUACAGUAAAAAAGACCUAGGUACAUGGGAAUAUUUUGCUGACACUGUAACGAACUUACUCACAAAAGUUGACUUUAUAUUGGAAUUGUUCACACAAGUUAACUUUGUAAUUUAUAUAAUGUAAAAUUUAAGAUUUUUAUAUUAUGUAAAUCAAAGCUUAAUAUUGCAUAACUAAUUAGUUUUGAGUUUUCAAAAUAAUAUGGCUUUAUAAAGAUAUAGAAUUCUUGAUAUAAGUCUUAACAAGGGAAAAUUUAAGGAUAGGAAAAUUGUGGUGGAAAGGGGGUCAAUUUCUCCUAAACAGGUGGAGAGCUGGAGAAGGGUAAGAGAAGGAAGAUGGUUGAUGUGAAGGCUAAGAGUAAUUGUUAAAGGUUGCUAACAGGGAGGAUCCCUUUCUCAUGAAGAUGAUUUUUAAACACCGUGUUAAUUGUUUAUGGGCCAUCAUGUUUGACGAUAAUUUUUAAAUACUGUGUUAAUUGUAUAUAGCACAUCAUGUUUGACAAUAAAUUUUAAAGACUUUUAAACGUCGCAUUAAUUGUUUAUGGCCCAUUGCCCAUGUUGCUUUUAUUAAAUUUUGGGUAAACUAUAAGUUAAUCACUUAAUUUUUAUAAAAUUUCAUUUUGGUAAAAGAAAAUCUCAGGAUAAAACAAAAAUUAGGAUAAAUGUAAUGUUGAAAUGAAUAUAGUGGGAAUCUUUAAUGUUUAUGGCCAAACCCCACCUCUCCUAUCCUAUACUUCAUCUAUCAUAAUGAUUCUUGGCUUCUUCUACAAUUGCCUUCACAAAAUGAAGCUGACAUUUGAGGUUGUCCUUCAUUUACUUUUGUUUUCUUCCUAUGAUAUAAAUGCAAGUAGAAUAUAAAUUAUACAUUUGUAAUUCCUCAAUUAUUUGGAUUAAAUUGAAAAACAAUCUCAAUUAUUUGGAUUAGAUUGAAAAAUAAUUGACACUUGAUUUGAUUGUGAAAGAAGUUUUAGUUUAAUGAAAUGAAUGAGUUAAAUUUUAAAUUUAUAAUAUUUAACUUGAGUGUGAAUGAAUUUUUGACUUAAUUGAAAAUUGAAAAUUUUAUAAAUUUUGUUUAAAUUUAUUUUGAUUUAAUUCUCAUAUUGUAUAUUCUUAAUUAAAUUCGGAAUAUAUCAAUUUAGUCAUACAUUGUAACGAUGGAUUCGAAUUAUAGUUAAUUAUAUAUUGAAACUAAAAAUCUUAGAUUUUUAUCAACAUUUGCCGCCUCAUUUAUGGUGAAUGGUAUAUUUCCCAUUUGGUCCCCCUUUCUUUUUAUUAAUCUAUAAUUCUACUUCUACCCCCAUUCAAUUUAGCCCUUUUUCCUAAUUUCUCUUAAUUAAGCUAAAUUCACUUAAUUAAAGCCUAAUUAAACACACAACUAGCCUCACAAAUAUUCUUAAUAAAUACUUACGAACUCGGUUCACUAAGACGGAGGCCCUAUAACUCACUUUUCUAGUGCCCGUGAAUUUUGGAUCAUUACACCUUCUUCCGUGGACGACAUUUUUAGGCUGAGCGGUUCGAAGUAAUUAACAAGGUGAUUUUGUAAACUGUUUUUGGCUGAGUGAGUGAUGUUGGUGAAAAGGUGGCAAAAUGGCUACAAUGUUUCUAUAGCUUAUAAAAUGAACAUACGGAAAAUCUUUAAUUAAGAUUUAAAUGUAUAAAAGUAUAAAUUAUAAUAGUAAAAUUGUACUUUAAUCUUAUAAAUCGCAAUACUUUAAUUUAGUUAUUUAAAAAAUUAGAAAUAUAUUAGUUAAUAUAAUGAUAAAAUUACGUUUUAACUUUAUCAAAAUUUAUAACUUAAUUUCAAUCCAAAUUCUUACUUCACCCUUAUUUCUGCACUAAUAAAAGUUAUAAUCUGUGUUAAAUAUCGGAUUAGUAUAUGGAUGAUAUUAAAAAUAUAUAUAAAAAUAUAAAAUCUCUAAAAGCUUAAUCAACACACAUUCAGGUGUACGCUUUUAUUAAACUUUGAUUUUUUUAGUACGAGAUUAUCUGGAUUCUUUAAAAUAAUGUUAUGGAUAAGUUUUUGUUUAAUGUAUUGAUUGGUUUUUUUUUUCCUUUUAGAUUUGAUGAAUGAUAGAUUUUUGUUUGUGAAGUUUAUCUAUGAAUAUUUAUAUAAUUAUUAAUAAUUUUAUAUUUAAAAUUUAUUUAAUAUUUUAAAAUUUUAUCGAUAAUUUUGAAAGGAUAUAUAAAAACAAAUCGAUAUUGAUAUGUAUCAAUUUCUGUAGAAAAACGGUGCGUCCAUCAGUGCAAUACUAACUACCUUGGAUAAGAAAACAUUUAAUCCUUAAAUUUGGCAACUUUUCUCAACUUAGUCAUUAAACUUUUUUUUUAUCUACACUAGUCUUCUAACUUGACAACUUUUCUAAAUUUUGAUGCAUGUGAUGACAUCGCAUUCUGAUUUUGUAUCAUAGGGGUGUUCGAAUUUCGAUUAAAAUUGAAUUAACUGACCGAACCAAUCUAAUUCAGUUAAUCAGUCAGUUAAUCAAUCUAGUUCUAUCAGAGGUCGGUUAAAAGUUUUUUGGAAUUUCGGUUAACGGUUAAUUCGAUUCGAAAUUAGGUAAUUAACUGAAUUACCCAAACUUAAUAAAUUAGACUUGUAGGCUAGGAAGCACAGACACGGCUCAUCCCUCCUCGUACCGGUAUCGUACGUGUGUCCGACACAGACACUCGACGGACAUGCCUAGAUACGUAUGGAACAAGCUGGAAUAUGCCAAAAAUUUUUUUUUUUAUUGCCAUAUCUUGCUGUAUCCGUGUCCUUAUUUUCUAAAAAUUACCAUGUUGCUGUGUCUGUAUCAUGUCGUACCCGUAUUGCGUGUCUGUAUCCAUGCUCCAUAGCUUGUAGGUAAGGGCCGAACAAAGAAUCCAGUAAGGCAGUAGUCUAGAAUAAGGAGUUAGACCAAUUGAAUCGAGUUAAUGAAUUGAUUUUCUUUAUAUUUUUAAUAUAUCUUUAAUAUUUUUAAAAUUUUAUAUGAUUUAACCGAGUGGUUAAUCAAUAAAAAUUGAGAGUCUAAUAGAUUUAAAAAAAAAAACCUUUUUAACAUAUAUAAACUCCAAAAAAAUAUUCUUUUUUAAAUUCCUUAAAUUACCUGUCCUGCUGAUGUGAUUCUGGCUUUUUAACAGUAUUGUUGGUGAACCCUACGGUUGCCUCCAUGAACUUUUUGUCAUCGUUCGAUCUUGUAAGCAAUUCAAGAACACGAAAAGGUAAUUGGUUUUCCAACAAGAACAGAUCCGAG
This 5329-nucleotide long non-coding RNA is filed under the name Gossypium barbadense (sea-island cotton). RNAcentral's name for it is "long non-coding RNA (GBAR_LNC021312)". Lineage: Eukaryota; Viridiplantae; Streptophyta; Magnoliopsida; Malvales; Malvaceae. The record is from RNAcentral.